RNAcentral lists this ribosomal RNA (352 nucleotides) under Crocinitomicaceae bacterium. Its description in RNAcentral is "bacterial LSU rRNA". It matches the Rfam family "Bacterial large subunit ribosomal RNA", at positions 2560 to 2925 of the family's 2925-position model. Lineage: Bacteria; Pseudomonadati; Bacteroidota; Flavobacteriia; Flavobacteriales; Crocinitomicaceae. The record is from RNAcentral.
AGGUCCCAAGGGUUGGGCUGUUCGCCCAUUAAAGUGGCACGCGAGCUGGGUUCAGAACGUCGCGAGACAGUUCGGUCCCUAUCUGUUGUGGGCGUUAGAGAUUUGAGGGAAUCUGUCCCUAGUACGAGAGGACCGGGAUGGACGAACCUCUAGUGUACCUGUUGUGGCGCUAGCUGCAUCGCAGGGUAGCUAUGUUCGGACGUGAUAAGCGCUGAAAGCAUCUAAGCGCGAAACACAUCUCAAGAUGAGAUCUCUUUUAAAGGUCGUUAAAGACGAUAACGUUGAUAGGCUACAGGUGUAAAGUCAGUGAUGGCAAAGCCGAGUAGUACUAAUUACCUGUAAGCUUUUAAUA